Molecule: small nuclear RNA, 181 nt
Filed under: Echinops telfairi (small Madagascar hedgehog)
Lineage: Eukaryota; Metazoa; Chordata; Mammalia; Afrosoricida; Tenrecidae
Description: U2 spliceosomal RNA (ENSETEG00000024822.1)
Rfam family: U2 spliceosomal RNA
About the family: U2 is a small nuclear RNA (snRNA) component of the spliceosome (involved in pre-mRNA splicing). Complementary binding between U2 snRNA (in an area lying towards the 5' end but 3' to hairpin I) and the branchpoint sequence (BPS) of the intron results the bulging out of an unpaired adenosine, on the BPS, which initiates a nucleophilic attack at the intronic 5' splice site, thus starting the first of two transesterification reactions that mediate splicing.
Source: RNAcentral
CUUGUUUCAUCGCCUUUUGUCUAAGAUCAAGGGUAGUAUCUGUUCUUAUCAGGUUAAUAUCUGAUACAUCCUCUAUCCAAGUACAAUAUAUUAAAUGGAUUGGGGGGGGGGGCGAGAAGUUUUCUUAUUUAGGCCUGUUGUUUGCUCAUGCUUGCAUUGCUCAUAUAUGAAUUCAUCUCUG